Cotesia glomerata is the source of this 100-nucleotide long non-coding RNA. RefSeq lists it as uncharacterized. The transcript is spliced from 3 exons. The record is from RefSeq and is a predicted model, not a curated record. NCBI's taxonomy places the organism in Eukaryota, Metazoa, Arthropoda, Insecta, Hymenoptera, Braconidae.
UGUGUAUGUAUACUGUCACGGGGCUCCUUUAUUAUCUAUUGAAGGCUCUCACCCUGACUAUGGUUAAUUUUCGACGGAUCACAGGGCGCUGUGAUCUAAG